RNAcentral lists this ribosomal RNA (458 nucleotides) under uncultured Neisseria sp. RNAcentral describes it as "bacterial SSU rRNA". It matches the Rfam family "Bacterial small subunit ribosomal RNA", at positions 53 to 500 of the family's 1533-position model. Lineage: Bacteria; Pseudomonadati; Pseudomonadota; Betaproteobacteria; Neisseriales; Neisseriaceae. The record is from RNAcentral.
ACAUGCAAGUCGGACGGCAGCACAGAGAAGCUUGCUUCUCGGGUGGCGAGUGGCGAACGGGUGAGUAACAUAUCGGAACGUACCGAGUAGUGGGGGAUAACUGAUCGAAAGAUCAGCUAAUACCGCAUACGUCUUGAGAGAGAAAGCAGGGGACCUUCGGGUCUUGCGCUAUUCGAGCGGCCGAUAUCUGAUUAGCUAGUUGGUGGGGUAAAGGCUCACCAAGGCGACGAUCAGUAGCGGGUCUGAGAGGAUGAUCCGCCACACUGGGACUGAGACACGGCCCAGACUCCUACGGGAGGCAGCAGUGGGGAAUUUUGGACAAUGGGCGCAAGCCUGAUCCAGCCAUGCCGCGUGUCUGAAGAAGGCCUUCGGGUUGUAAAGGACUUUUGUCAGGGAAGAAAAGGCUGUUGCUAAUACCAGCGGCUGAUGACGGUACCUGAAGAAUAAGCACCGGCUAA